CUGUUCAAAGAUUAAGCCAUGCAUUUCUAAGUAUAAGCAAUUUAUCCAGUGAAACUGCGAAUGGCUCAUUAAAUCAGUUAUCGUUUAUUUGAUAGUUCCUUUACUACAUGGUAUAACUGUGGUAAUUCUAGAGCUAAUACAUGCUUAAAAUUUCGACCCUUUGGAAGAGAUGUAUUUAUUAGAUAAAAAAUCAAUGUCUUCGGACUCUUUGAUGAUUCAUAAUAACUUUUCGAAUCGCAUGGCCUUGUGCUGGCGAUGGUUCAUUCAAAUUUCUGCCCUAUCAACUUUCGAUGGUAGGAUAGUGGCCUACCAUGGUUUCAACGGGUAACGGGGAAUAAGGGUUCGAUUCCGGAGAGGGAGCCUGAGAAACGGCUACCACAUCCAAGGAAGGCAGCAGGCGCGCAAAUUACCCAAUCCUAAUUCAGGGAGGUAGUGACAAUAAAUAACGAUACAGGGCCCAUUCGGGUCUUGUAAUUGGAAUGAGUACAAUGUAAAUACCUUAACGAGGAACAAUUGGAGGGCAAGUCUGGUGCCAGCAGCCGCGGUAAUUCCAGCUCCAAUAGCGUAUAUUAAAGUUGUUGCAGUUAAAAAGCUCGUAGUUGAACUUUGGGCCCGGUUGGCCGGUCCGAUUUUUUCGUGUACUGGAUUUCCAACGGGGCCUUUCCUUCUGGCUAACCUUGAGUCCUUGUGGCUCUUGGCGAACCAGGACUUUUACUUUGAAAAAAUUAGAGUGUUCAAAGCAGGCGUAUUGCUCGAAUAUAUUAGCAUGGAAUAAUAGAAUAGGACGUUUGGUUCUAUUUUGUUGGUUUCUAGGACCAUCGUAAUGAUUAAUAGGGACGGUCGGGGGCAUCAGUAUUCAAUUGUCAGAGGUGAAAUUCUUGGAUUUAUUGAAGACUAACUACUGCGAAAGCAUUUGCCAAGGACGUUUUCAUUAAUCAAGAACGAAAGUUAGGGGAUCGAAGAUGAUCAGAUACCGUCGUAGUCUUAACCAUAAACUAUGCCGACUAGGGAUCGGGUGGUGUUUUUUUAAUGACCCACUCGGCACCUUACGAGAAAUCAAAGUCUUUGGGUUCCUGGGCGGGAGUACUUGCGCCCCACG
Molecule: ribosomal RNA, 1099 nt
Filed under: Saccharomyces x bayanus
Lineage: Eukaryota; Fungi; Ascomycota; Saccharomycetes; Saccharomycetales; Saccharomycetaceae
Description: SSU rRNA
Rfam family: Eukaryotic small subunit ribosomal RNA
Source: RNAcentral